UGGAAGCAUGACAAAAUAGUAAUAAUAGUAAAGGUGAAGGGUAAUUAUCUUGUUGUGACUAUCUAAGACACUUGGACAACUCACUUUCAUAUUCAUUGAUCCAUUUUCAGUAAAGAAAAGACAUUCCUUUUACAUCUUUCUCUCUCUCGUGCCUUUUGCAAGUGACCACCUCUUGCAUAAAUCAUGAAGUUAGAUUGUGAAGACAACAACCCAUGAAAAUAAAAGACAUUUUGAUUUCUCUCUUCCUUUUUGUUUGGCCGCAAACCCUUUUCCAUGGUGUCUAAACCCAAAUUCAAUUUCUUCAUCAUCUAUGAGAAAACAUGCAUGUAUGGUGGUCAUCACUUCCCUCAUGAACUGUUAGUACUUAGUACUUGGAUUGAGUUGUUGUUGUGCAGAAAGUAAGGUACAGAACUCACUCUUCAUUCACAAAAGUAUACAUGAGUUUUCUCUUGUUGAAUCCAAACAUUUAAUCUUAACCCCACACAUGAAUAGAUGUUUACCUCUUCAUUUACUUUGAUUUCAUGUGAUGGAUUGAGUAAUUGCAAACUGUGGAUGUUUGGAAAAUCAAGUUGAGAUUAUUAUAAAGAAUCAUUGUUGGUUGAGGAAUGAAUGGAAGGCUGUGGAAACAGAAUUGGAGAAAGUUAGAAUUAGAAAGGUAAGAAAUUCUGCAUAAUUUUCGUAGGACCUAUGUUCAGUAAUUAAUCUGUAUCUGUCAAACCGUAACUUGAUUUUAAUGGUAUUUACAUGUCUAGAAAGCUGACAGAAUUACCUUCGUUAUGGUGUCAAAUUCGUGGAAUUUGACUGAGAAUUGAGAUCUGGAGACCAGUUUGAAGUUGAGGGUCUGAUAUGGAAAUUGUGCUGAAAAUUCUGUUUACCGGUUUAAACUGCUUUUGCUGCAAAUUCUGCAUUUCGGCGAGUUCCAGAAAUAUCGGUUGUAUUGUUCAAGCGUCAACUCAGGUGGGUUCCCUUAGAGCCUUAAACUCUAGUUAGUUUAGCUCCAUUAAUUUUCCCAAAAUUUAUGCAUGAUAACAUUAGUCUAAAUAGGAUAAUAGUAUCCCCAAUGUAUGAUAAAAAGUAAGAUAACAUUAAGGUUUAGGAUGAAUCAGUGUAUGAGAAGAGCUUAAUCCUAAAGUUCUUCUCCAUUUUAAUCAUUUAAUCCAUUAUAGUGUGCACAACUAUUAGAAAGAGGGAUUGUAGGUGAAUUUAUGCAUUGUUUAUAUAAAACAGAGUGUUGAAUUGGUAUCCUCGCUAAGCGAGAAUAGCAAAUCAGUAUCUUGCACAAUCUUUUAAAAUGUGAUGCUUUCACUCUUUUUAGAUCCCUGACCCUUCUAGAUAUUUUCUGAGGAUACUGUAAGUACAUUAAAUAAUUAGAAUGUUAAUUACACGUUAGGUACAUAAUAAUCAGGAAAUCAGGACAAGUUAGUAUUACCCUAGGAGGGAAUUCAUGGGCAGGAUAACAAUCAAGAUUAUUAAGUUAAGUCAAGAAAGUCAAUCAAUUAUGGUGGUUACUUAUGUACCACGUUGUGGGAUUCGUUAGAAUCCAAUCAUGUUAUGAUUGUGAGCUUCGACCGUGUCGAUGUACAUUAUUAUCGUAGACGGAUAUGUCAGGCCUCUGAGAUUGGCUCACCUCAGAGUGUCUUUGUUAUGAAUAAAACGAACAAGAUUAAUAAUUUGUGUUACACCUUUAUGUAUUAUGUUAUGAAAUUAUGUUAUGUAAAUCAUUUUUAGAGAUUGACUAUCAGGAUCAAGGAACAUUAGUUCAUCAGUUGCCCCUGGUGUAGACACCAAUAGUAAUUGGGUAGUAGGAAUCCACUGAGGCGAAGUGACUGUCUCAUCCCCCACUUAUUUGAUUUCAGAUAAAUAGGUUGAUCGAGAUAUCAUGGUCUGCAAGCAUAGAGUUCAGAUGCUUGGAUUAUGCUAGUUGAGCUGACGUCACGUUAUCUUAUAUUGUGAAUUAGAUUUAGUUUCUUCAUGUUUUCAGUUGUUAGCUCAAUUUAGUAUUAAUCACUUAGAUUUUUGUAAUCCUAUUUAUGUAUUUGGACGAUAUGUAAUGAAAAUUUAAUGUUUUCCGAUUCAGUUAUGUACACUUUUAUCGAUAUUCUAGAUAAAUUGACAUGGGAUGAUAUCACCA
RNAcentral lists this long non-coding RNA (2131 nucleotides) under Trifolium pratense (red clover). Its description in RNAcentral is "long non-coding RNA (TPRA_LNC000301)". Lineage: Eukaryota; Viridiplantae; Streptophyta; Magnoliopsida; Fabales; Fabaceae. The record is from RNAcentral.